GCCAGGCUUGGUGGUGCACACCUGUAGUCCUGGCUACUCUAGAGGCUGAGGCAGGAGGAUGGCUUGAGCCCAGGAGUUCAAGGCUGCAGUGAGCUGUGAUCGUGCCACUGCACUCUAGCCUGGGCUACAGAGCGAGACUUUGUCUCUA
Molecule: non-coding RNA, 148 nt
Filed under: Chlorocebus sabaeus (green monkey)
Lineage: Eukaryota; Metazoa; Chordata; Mammalia; Primates; Cercopithecidae
Source: Rfam by way of RNAcentral